GAUGAACGCUGGCGGCGUGCCUAAUACAUGCAAGUCGAGCGAACAGAUGAGGAGCUUGCUCCUCUGACGUUAGCGGCGGACGGGUGAGUAACACGUGGAUAACCUACCUAUAAGACUGGGAUAACUUCGGGAAACCGGAGCUAAUACCGGAUAAUAUAUUGAACCGCAUGGUUCAAUAGUGAAAGACGGUUUUGCUGUCACUUAUAGAUGGAUCCGCGCCGCAUUAGCUAGUUGGUAAGGUAACGGCUUACCAAGGCAACGAUGCGUAGCCGACCUGAGAGGGUGAUCGGCCACACUGGAACUGAGACACGGUCCAGACUCCUACGGGAGGCAGCAGUAGGGAAUCUUCCGCAAUGGGCGAAAGCCUGACGGAGCAACGCCGCGUGAGUGAUGAAGGUCUUCGGAGCGUAAAACUCUGUUAUUAGGGAAGAACAAAUGUGUAAGUAACUAUGCACGUCUUGACGGUACCUAAUCAGAAAGCCACGGCUAACUACGUG
RNAcentral lists this ribosomal RNA (497 nucleotides) under uncultured bacterium. RNAcentral describes it as "partial 16S ribosomal RNA". It matches the Rfam family "Bacterial small subunit ribosomal RNA", at positions 28 to 507 of the family's 1533-position model. The record is from RNAcentral.